This 424-nucleotide ribosomal RNA is filed under the name uncultured bacterium. RNAcentral's name for it is "bacterial SSU rRNA". It matches the Rfam family "Bacterial small subunit ribosomal RNA", at positions 355 to 772 of the family's 1533-position model. The record is from RNAcentral.
UGGGGAAUUGUUCACAAUGGGCGCAAGCCUGAUGACGCAACGCCGCGUGGAGGAUGAAGGUCUUCGGAUUGUAAACUCCUGUUGCCCGGGACGAAAAGCUCCGACCUAACACGUCGGAGUCUGACGGUACCGGGGGAGGAAGCCCCGGCUAACUCUGUGCCAGCAGCCGCGGUAAGACAGAGGAGCCAAGCGUUGUCCGGAUUGACUGGGCGUAAAGCGCACGCAGGCGGGUGCGCGCGUGGGGUGUGAAAUCUGGCCGCUUAACGGCCAGGCGCCAUCCCAUACGGCGCGCCUGGAGCCUUGCAGAGGGCGGUGGAAUUGCCGGUGUAGUGGUGAAAUGCGUAGAGGUCGGCAGGAACACCCAGGGGGAAACCAGCCGCCUGGGCAAGCGCUGACGCUGAGGUGCGAGAGCGUGGGGAGCGAA